GACGAACGCUGGCGGCGUGCCUAACACAUGCAAGUCGAACGGGGCUCUUUGGAUCGAGACUUCGGUCAAGUGAAUCUGAGCUUAGUGGCGGACGGGUGAGUAACGCGUGAGCAACCUGCCUUUCAGAGGGGGACAACAGUUGGAAACGACUGCUAAUACCGCAUAACGUGUCGAGGAGGCAUCUCCUUGACACCAAAGAUUUAUCGCUGAAAGAUGGGCUCGCGUCUGAUUAGCUAGUUGGCAGGGUGAUAGCCUACCAAGGCGACGAUCGGUAGCCGACCUGAGAGGGUGAUCGGCCACAUUGGAACUGAGAUACGGUCCAA
RNAcentral lists this ribosomal RNA (323 nucleotides) under uncultured bacterium. RNAcentral's name for it is "bacterial SSU rRNA". It matches the Rfam family "Bacterial small subunit ribosomal RNA", at positions 28 to 334 of the family's 1533-position model. The record is from RNAcentral.